Molecule: ribosomal RNA, 424 nt
Filed under: uncultured bacterium
Lineage: Bacteria
Description: bacterial SSU rRNA
Rfam family: Bacterial small subunit ribosomal RNA
Source: RNAcentral
UAGGGAAUAUUGGGCAAUGGACGCAAGUCUGACCCAGCCAUGCCGCGUGCAGGAAGACGGCCCUCUGGGUUGUAAACUGCUUUUAUCAGGGAAGAAGAGUAGGCUUGCGAGCUUAUGUGACGGUACCUGAGGAAUAAGCACCGGCUAACUCCGUGCCAGCAGCCGCGGUAAUACGGAGGGUGCAAGCGUUGUCCGGAUUUAUUGGGUUUAAAGGGUGCGUAGGUGGCCAUUUAAGUCAGCUUUGAAAGCUGGUCGCUUAACGAUCAGGGGUGGGUUGAUACUGGAUGGCUUGGAUCAGGUGGCGGUUUCUGGAACGGGUCGUGUAGCGGUGAAAUGCAUAGAUAUGACCCAGAACUCCGAUUGCGAAGGCAGGAGGCUACGCCUGGAUUGACACUGAGGCACGAGAGCAUGGGGAGCAAACAGG